UACGUAGGGUGCAAGCGUUAAUCGGAAUUACUGGGCGUAAAGCGUGCGCAGGCGGUUAUGUAAGACAGAUGUGAAAUGCCCGGGCUUAACCUGGGAACUGCAUUUGUGACUGCAUGGCUAGAGUUUGGCAGAGGGGGGUAGAAUUCCACGUGUAGCAGUGAAAUGCGUAGAUAUGUGGAGGAACACCGAUGGCGAAGGCAGCCCCCUGGGUCAAGACUGACGCUCAUGCGACGAAAGCGUGGGGAGCAAA
RNAcentral lists this ribosomal RNA (250 nucleotides) under uncultured bacterium. RNAcentral's name for it is "partial 16S ribosomal RNA". It matches the Rfam family "Bacterial small subunit ribosomal RNA", at positions 524 to 772 of the family's 1533-position model. The record is from RNAcentral.